Molecule: small nuclear RNA, 109 nt
Organism: Diceros bicornis minor
Lineage: Eukaryota; Metazoa; Chordata; Mammalia; Perissodactyla; Rhinocerotidae
Source: RefSeq, a predicted model, not a curated record
GUGCUUGCUUCGGCAGCACAUAUACUAAAAUUGGAACGAUACAGAGAAGAUUAGCAUGACCCCUGCGCAAGGAUGACACGCAAAUUCGUAAUAGAAGUAUAAUGAUGUA